UGACAGCUGGAAAUUCUUUCUGCUCUUCUGUGAGUUGAGAGCUACAAAUGGGAGACUUUUCAAGCCCAGUUCCAAACACAGGAAUUCUUCCCUAGUCAGUCUGUCUCCUGGGCCCCACUGAGACAGCUGGCCUUCCCACGCAAGCUAAUGCGCUCAGCUGUGACUGCCCGUUCCUGGGUCAGCCUGCUCCAGCUCACCCUUGACGGGGAACACCGGCUCCCUGACAGCUUGAGCCGCUUUCUGUUCCAAGCUGCAGAGAGCACCGUGGAGUCUUUUCAAAAUGCAGGUCAGCAACUCCCAGGAGUUCCUGCAGCCUCGGCUGCCAUGAUCUUCUUAUUUCUUUAGCCAGUUCUUUGAGACUCAGGGCAGGAUUUGAGCCCCAUACGAGAUCCUUCUCCUGGCUUUUGUGGAGGUGAUUAAACCAAUGUCUUCUUCCUGAAAAAGAGAAAAUCUUCCACUGGAUUUGGCAUAAGAACACAGCUAGACUGGAAAUGGGGAGACUAGAAAACAGAGGAGUUACUAGGUUUGAUAAGCUUCAAAAAUCCUCUCCCUUAGAGACGAUGCUGAUAGAAGGGUGAGAAAACCUCCUCCUGUGCAAGAGACCUGCUAGAGAGCUUGGGAAAGAGAGCAGCACUGAGGCUUGGAGGGGCAGGAGGGAGGUCUUCGGAACAGGAAAGAGACUUUCCACCACAGAGACUGUAAGAUGGUGACAUCCGGUCCUGAAAGUCAGAAGUAAGCAAUCAGCCUAUAGGUUCCCAGAACAUGCUCUCGGGAGGCAACUGUGGAAAAAGGCCAGGGCUUUUUCUGUGUAACAGCCUGCUGUCCUGGAACUCACUCUGUAGAUCAGGCUGGCCUUGAACUCACAGAGACCCAGCACUGGGAUUAAAGGUGUGUGCCACCACUGGCUGGCAAGAAGCAGUUUUAAUGAAGAUUGUCAUGGAGUUUCAGAUUUCUUUGUUUUUAACUGUCUCUAUUCGGCUGCUUACACUCAAGGUGCAGUGGAUCAGUUCCAGAAUGGGCAAUCACAGCACAGACCCACCUCACCAUCUGGGCGGUCACAAGCUAGAAGAACAUCUCCAUAGGAUGAAGAAGAAUGGUGCCAGGCACAAGUUUAAUGGUCUAAAGGCAGGGUGUGGGAAGAGAACUCCUCUUACCUUGUCUUUCCUCUUUUCACUUGAAGCGGGUGGGAUUAAGUCCUCCGGUGCUGGAGUCUGAUUGUUUUAGUGUGUAGCCUGGAAGAGUCCCCUCAGUCUCCUGGCCCUGUGGCUCCUCUACAGUGCUGAAGUGAACAGGUUUCCCAAAUAGAGUGGGACCAGCUUGUUUCUCCCUUUGCCUGGACCUGGGAAAUAGCAUGCUAACCUCGUUUGGGCGUUAAGGAGAUAGGUCACCCUAGACUUUGUUAGAACAGCACCCAGCAUAUAGCAAGUUCUGUAAGGUGGGGCCCCCCCGCCCCCCUCUUCUCCCUUUUUCUCCUCUCCUCUUGCACCGAGGGAUGGUUAGAUGUGGACAUCUGCCCACUCGGCUAUAACCCCUGGCAGUCUCAGUGUGUUCGAGGAGUGUGGGAAUUGGGCACUGGCCUGUGUCCUGCAGCGGGGCCAUAAAACAGCGGCAAAGGGAGCCGCUGGUGCAGAUAGGCCUGGAGAUGAAAGGCGGUGCGUUUUCCUUUCCAAAGUGCGGCUGUGUUCCUGAAGGCCUGCAGCUUCCUCUGCCCUGCUGACUUUUCUCUCUCUCUCUUCCCAGCUCCCCUCGGUGAUAUCUUAAGAGGCAAACUUCCAGCACUAACAAGAGGUCUUUUGUUCUCUUUUUUUCUCAAAGUGGACUUUAACCUAGUUACUACAGACUGAGUCACUGUGCAAACAAACAAAUAAUAAGACUUGGUUUUCUUAAAGGCCCUUCCAUUGCUGUUGACAAAAAAGGGGGAACCUGACACUUUCUUGGGGGCCUAUGGGGCUCUUAUUCACCCCAACCUUUUAGAGAAUCAGCCUUGGAGAAGCUUCCAGAACAUGCAGGAGCCUGGCACUAUGGCUUGCUUAGACUUCCAUCUAUUGGGGUGGUCCGUGAACUGUGAUGAAUUUAGGGUCUCAGCACAGUCUUGGUAGGUUUAUCCCAGACUGAGGAGAACUUGAUACACUCCUGGGCUGGGCUCAGUUCUGGACUAGCCUCCCUUGUUCACACUUUAGAUUCUUUAUAUGUAACACUAGGGUAUAAAGACGUCUGGUCUUAUCGGGAAAGUCUUUGCAAUUGACCCUGCUCUGUUAGAAGACCAGGGCAAAGUAAAGGGCUGUUUAUGGCAGCCUCAGUCCAGUCAACAACAGCUUUAUGGGCCCUCAGGAAUGGGGUGGGUGUCAGAUGAGAAAGACUCACUUCCGGCCUUCUGAAAGACACACAGGUAAGUAGGCAAAUGCAGUCUUCUCAUGAGGAUAAGAUGGUUUUGUGCCAAGAGAAGGGAAUGUCUAUUCCUCUGGGGAGUGCAUUGAAGUUUUCCCAGAGGACAUGGUGUUUGAGCGAAGAUGUUCAGGGGAAGCUACGGUGUUUAUGACAGGCAGAAGGAACAAGGGGAAGAGUCCAUGCCAAGACUGGACCCAUCAUAGUACAAACUUCCUUUAAUAUUUCUUCAAUAAUUUUUGCUUAAUUAUUUAAGUAGACCUGGACCUUCUCUUUUGCAAGGAGAGAAGUCUCUGGAAGAGCAUUGCUACUGGCUUUGGAACUCUGUGCCAAAAUGUUUUACUACAUCAAACAUUAAGACACGCUUUAGGCCUCUAGCCCACUGGACAUACUGCCCAAGGGCAGAGCCAGGGUUUCCAGUGAAUGGAAUUCACAUUCCCUAAGAGCUUGUCACCCUCUGUGUUUUUAGCUCCCCAGAGCUCAAGGGCAUUGUGCAACACACUCACGCCUACCAUGAAAAGGCAGUUCAGGUGUUUGGAAAACUCUGGCUCACAUUGUCCCAAUGUCUAAGUCUCCCUUUUGUGCACCUUCCCCAGAAUCCGUGGGUGGAUUAAUGGUCUUCCUUUUUCUACGGCUCAUUCUUUGCACUGCGAUUUAAGCCCCAUUCUUGAACACCCCUGCUCCUGGACUGUGAACUCCCUAGAUGGGGAUUAUACAAAUGUACUAUUUUUAGGGGGGGGGGGAUUGUUAGUUUGUUUGAGACAGGGUCUCACAAUAUAGCUCUGGAUGUCAUGAAACUCAUUAUGUAGACCAGGCUGGCCUCAAACUCACAGAGAUCCACCUGCCUCUGCCUCCUGAGUGCUGGGAUUAAAGGCGUGCACCACUAUACCUGGUUAGCACUUUUGAAUGGUCGAUCUUUCCUAAUAUUUGUCUCAUAGACACAAAAGGUGAUCAAGGGAUAUUUAUUAAGUGGACACAUACUUAGGAGAAUGUUGGUUGAGUGGGUGUAUUUUGUCCAAUCUGACAAAUAGCAUCAACAGGAUGAUCAUGGAUGAUAAAAUGGCCAGGCCUAAGAAUCCCCAAAAGGUCCCAGCCUGUGUAGAAAGAGAUUUCUUCUUCCAAGAAGCUGCUUGCGCUCGAUCAUUUAGAUUUAAAAUCUGACUGCUUCGACCAUGGGAAUCCAAGGCAAAGAAACUUGCUGUUUUUCAAGCUGAUUUCUUCGCUUUAGUGAACCCCAGCAUCACUAAAGAAGUCAGCAUCAGGCCACCCCUCUGGGUGCAGACCAUAGUCUCCUUGCGUAGUCCCGACCUAACCAGUCGCUUUCUGUGCUGGGGGAUACCAGCCUUGGUCUUGGCCUGCCUUUCCUGGAUUGGCUCCGAGAGGAUGAGUCAACAGUUCCAGACAAACUCGCUCUCCCUGACAGUAGCUGGUUGAUUUCUUCUGAGAAAAUGGAAACCUUGGUCUUCUGAUGUGUGCAGUGACAGACACAAGAGGAAUUUUCCAAUACAACCAGGGAGUGGAUUUUCCAAGGCCAGGCUGACCAAGGAAAGCCUUCAUUUGCCCGUGCUCCAGAAUUAGGUAAUGUGGCACCCCCUGGAGUAGAAGAGGUGGCUGGCUACACCAGGAGGAACGCUGUGCUCCCUCCUCUUUCUGGCCUGCCUGGUGAUCUGCCACCAAUGGGAUUAGUGGCUCCGAGACAGCUGGGUCAUCUCAGUGCCAUUUCCCUGCGGUGAGAAGAGACAUGAUGUUGUUUCUGUUUGGGAAGGAGGUGGCGGUGAAGAGCAGCUGAAAGCUAGAUGACUCUCUAGAAUCUGUGACAGAAAUGCUAUGCACAGGGCCUAUCCAGGCUGCAGCCGAUUUCACAGCGGCCCAACUGUGCCCCUCCAUGAACUCAUUCAUUAUUCCAUAUGCUUACCGGGCUCCACUCUACGGCUAACCCUGUCCUAUGAACUGGACAAACAAAGCUCUGAAUUGUUCCCUGCCCUGGUUGGUUCUACUUCCCUUCAUCAUCCUCUGUAAGAGAAGGGCCAUUGUUUUCCUCAGCCCCUUUCUUUCUCACAGCCAUGGCAGAUAAUUUUUUUUUUCCAAAGGUCUCCAGGAAUAGAUGCAUGAAAAGACCCGGGAGAAGGGAUGAAUCACACUCGCAUUUGAAAACCCACCGAGGAGCUGUCAGGGUUUGCAAUUGUCCUCUUCGAACCCUGGAAAUACACUUAAGACGCCUUGGAGAGGCUCAUUACUGGCUGGGAGAAAGCAUGGCUUGGGUCUGAUGAAUUCCCAAUGUCAGGUGGAAUUCUCAAAGCCUUCCAGGGCUCGUACCAUAGCAGAACGUCCACCUGAGUAAGGCCGAAGAUGUUGGCGCAGUGUCCAUAACGGGAAGGGGCUGGGGAAUCCAAGGAAAGACGUGGGAUAAAAAGCAGGGGACACAUCUGCGAGCCCCUCUCAUCAUCUUUCUUUAAUGAUCCCCCUCCGCCGAUUUUGGAAAAGACGUGCUUAUGGAAAAAACUGGAAAAGUAGAGCUAACGCCUCAAAAGAAAUAAACGCAAAGCAGAAACCUAUUACCCAGAGACAGCGCUCUGACCAUUUUCGAUGGAUUUUGUAGUUCAAAAAAAAAAAUGUGUAUGAUGCUUUCCUUAAAAACUGUUCCGUUUUGUGCAGGGUACUUCAUAAUCCACUCCCCCCUUUAAUGAUACGUUAUGUGAACAUUUUCCCACCGGGCUGAGCUUUUCUUCUAAUACAAUUUUAAUGACUACCUAGUAUUCCAUCUCGCAGAUGUUUAAUUUAACUAACACCAUAUACUUGUGUCUGUUUUUAGUUUGUGUAUCUUAUUCUCUGCCACCAUAAAUUACACGAUGUUGACACUGGGGA
Alexandromys fortis (reed vole) is the source of this 5250-nucleotide long non-coding RNA. RefSeq lists it as uncharacterized. The transcript has 3 exons. NCBI's taxonomy places the organism in Eukaryota, Metazoa, Chordata, Mammalia, Rodentia, Cricetidae. The record is from RefSeq and is a predicted model, not a curated record.